Molecule: ribosomal RNA, 433 nt
Filed under: uncultured bacterium
Lineage: Bacteria
Description: partial 16S ribosomal RNA
Rfam family: Bacterial small subunit ribosomal RNA
Source: RNAcentral
AACGAACGCUGGCGGCAUGCCUAACACAUGCAAGUCGAACGAGACCUUCGGGUCUAGUGGCGCACGGGUGCGUACCGCGUGGGAACCUGCCCUUAGGUUCGGAAUACCUCCCCGAAAGGGGUGCUAAUACCGGAUAAUGUCUUCGGACCAAAGAUUUAUCGCCUUUGGAUGGGCCCGCGUUGGAUUAGCUGGUUGGUAGGGUAAAAGCCUACCAAGGCGACGAUCCAUAGCUGGUCUGAGAGGAUGAUCAGCCACACUGGGACUGAGACACGGCCCAGACUCCUACGGGAGGCAGCAGUGGAGAAUAUUGGACAAGGGGCGAAAGCCUGAUCCAGCAAUGCGGCGGGAGUGAUGAAGGCCUUAGGGUUGUAAAGCUCUUUUACCCGGGAUGAUAAUGACGGUACCGGGAGAAUAAGCUCCGGCUAACUCCGUG